This 2890-nucleotide ribosomal RNA is filed under the name Salmonella enterica subsp. enterica serovar Weltevreden. Its description in RNAcentral is "bacterial LSU rRNA". It matches the Rfam family "Bacterial large subunit ribosomal RNA". The record is from RNAcentral. Lineage: Bacteria; Pseudomonadati; Pseudomonadota; Gammaproteobacteria; Enterobacterales; Enterobacteriaceae.
AGCGUACACGGUGGAUGCCCUGGCAGUCAGAGGCGAUGAAGGGCGUGCUAAUCUGCGAUAAGCGCCGGUAAGGUGAUAUGAACCGUUAUAACCGGCGAUACCCGAAUGGGGAAACCCAGUGUGAUUCGUCACACUAUCAUUAACUGAAUCCAUAGGUUAAUGAGGCGAACCGGGGGAACUGAAACAUCUAAGUACCCCGAGGAAAAGAAAUCAACCGAGAUUCCCCCAGUAGCGGCGAGCGAACGGGGAGGAGCCCAGAGCCUGAAUCAGCAUGUGUGUUAGUGGAAGCGUCUGGAAAGGCGCGCGAUACAGGGUGACAGCCCCGUACACAAAAGCGCAUGUGCUGUGAGCUCGAUGAGUAGGGCGGGACACGUGGUAUCCUGUCUGAAUAUGGGGGGACCAUCCUCCAAGGCUAAAUACUCCUGACUGACCGAUAGUGAACCAGUACCGUGAGGGAAAGGCGAAAAGAACCCCGGCGAGGGGAGUGAAAAAGAACCUGAAACCGUGUACGUACAAGCAGUGGGAGCCCCACCACCAAAGCGUUUCGCUUUGUGUGGUGCACAAAGAAGCGUAACGACAGCACUGAAUGACGGUUAACGGAGCGCAAGCGACGUUCAACAUACAAAGUCAAGCAGUGGAGCGCUUUGGGGUGGGGUGACUGCGUACCUUUUGUAUAAUGGGUCAGCGACUUAUAUUCUGUAGCAAGGUUAACCGAAUAGGGGAGCCGGAGGGAAACCGAGUCUUAAUUGGGCGUUAAGUUGCAGGGUAUAGACCCGAAACCCGGUGAUCUAGCCAUGGGCAGGUUGAAGGUUGGGUAACACUAACUGGAGGACCGAACCGACUAAUGUUGAAAAAUUAGCGGAUGACCUGUGGCUGGGGGUGAAAGGCCAAUCAAACCGGGAGAUAGCUGGUUCUCCCCGAAAGCUAUUUAGGUAGCGCCUCGUGAAUUCAUCUCCGGGGGUAGAGCACUGUUUCGGCUAGGGGGCCAUCCCGGCUUACCAACCCGAUGCAAACUGCGAAUACCGGAGAAUGUUAUCACGGGAGACACACGGCGGGUGCUAACGUCCGUCGUGAAGAGGGAAACAACCCAGACCGCCAGCUAAGGUCCCAAAGUCAUGGUUAAGUGGGAAACGAUGUGGGAAGGCCCAGACAGCCAGGAUGUUGGCUUAGAAGCAGCCAUCAUUUAAAGAAAGCGUAAUAGCUCACUGGUCGAGUCGGCCUGCGCGGAAGAUGUAACGGGGCUAAACCAUGCACCGAAGCUGCGGCAGCGACGCUUAUGCGUUGUUGGGUAGGGGAGCGUUCUGUAAGCCUGUGAAGGUGGCCUGUGAGGGUUGCUGGAGGUAUCAGAAGUGCGAAUGCUGACAUAAGUAACGAUAAAGCGGGUGAAAAGCCCGCUCGCCGGAAGACCAAGGGUUCCUGUCCAACGUUAAUCGGGGCAGGGUGAGUCGACCCCUAAGGCGAGGCCGAAAGGCGUAGUCGAUGGGAAACGGGUUAAUAUUCCCGUACUUGGUGUUACUGCGAAGGGGGGACGGAGAAGGCUAUGUUGGCCGGGCGACGGUUGUCCCGGUUUAAGCGUGUAGGUGUGUGUUCCAGGUAAAUCCGGUUCACUUUAACACUGAGGCGUGAUGACGAGGCACUACGGUGCUGAAGCAACAAAUGCCCUGCUUCCAGGAAAAGCCUCUAAGCAUCAGGUAACAUCAAAUCGUACCCCAAACCGACACAGGUGGUCAGGUAGAGAAUACCAAGGCGCUUGAGAGAACUCGGGUGAAGGAACUAGGCAAAAUGGUGCCGUAACUUCGGGAGAAGGCACGCUGACANGUAGGUGAAGUGAUUUACUCAUGGAGCUGAAGUCAGUCGAAGAUACCAGCUGGCUGCAACUGUUUAUUAAAAACACAGCACUGUGCAAACACGAAAGUGGACGUAUACGGUGUGACGCCUGCCCGGUGCCGGAAGGUUAAUUGAUGGGGUCAGCGCAAGCGAAGCUCCUGAUCGAAGCCCCGGUAAACGGCGGCCGUAACUAUAACGGUCCUAAGGUAGCGAAAUUCCUUGUCGGGUAAGUUCCGACCUGCACGAAUGGCGUAAUGAUGGCCAGGCUGUCUCCACCCGAGACUCAGUGAAAUUGAACUCGCUGUGAAGAUGCAGUGUACCCGCGGCAAGACGGAAAGACCCCGUGAACCUUUACUAUAGCUUGACACUGAACAUUGAGCCUUGAUGUGUAGGAUAGGUGGGAGGCUUUGAAGCGUGGACGCCAGUCUGCGUGGAGCCGACCUUGAAAUACCACCCUUUAAUGUUUGAUGUUCUAACGUGGACCCGUUACCCGGGUUGCGGACAGUGUCUGGUGGGUAGUUUGACUGGGGCGGUCUCCUCCUAAAGAGUAACGGAGGAGCACGAAGGUUGGCUAAUCCUGGUCGGACAUCAGGAGGUUAGUGCAAUGGCAUAAGCCAGCUUGACUGCGAGCGUGACGGCGCGAGCAGGUGCGAAAGCAGGUCAUAGUGAUCCGGUGGUUCUGAAUGGAAGGGCCAUCGCUCAACGGAUAAAAGGUACUCCGGGGAUAACAGGCUGAUACCGCCCAAGAGUUCAUAUCGACGGCGGUGUUUGGCACCUCGAUGUCGGCUCAUCACAUCCUGGGGCUGAAGUAGGUCCCAAGGGUAUGGCUGUUCGCCAUUUAAAGUGGUACGCGAGCUGGGUUUAGAACGUCGUGAGACAGUUCGGUCCCUAUCUGCCGUGGGCGCUGGAGAACUGAGGGGGGCUGCUCCUAGUACGAGAGGACCGGAGUGGACGCAUCACUGGUGUUCGGGUUGUCAUGCCAAUGGCACUGCCCGGUAGCUAAAUGCGGAAGAGAUAAGUGCUGAAAGCAUCUAAGCACGAAACUUGCCCCGAGAUGAGUUCU